AUGGCGAUCGCCGGCGGCCCGCGCGGCCGCCUCCUGCUCCUCCCCCUCUUCCUCGUCGCCGCCGCCGUGUGCCUCGUCUCCACCCCCGCCCGCGCCUUCUACCUCCCCGGCGUCGCCCCCCGNNNNNNNNNNNNNGAUGAUGAUCUCCAGGUGAAGGUCAACAAGCUGUCAUCUAUAAAGACACAACUUCCAUAUGACUAUUAUUUCCUGGACUACUGCAAACCUGAGGCGAUUAAGAACAGUGCUGAGAACUUAGGGGAAGUCCUUCGUGGGGACCGAAUUGAAAACUCUGUCUAUAAUUUCAAGAUGAGGAGGGAUGGGAGUUGCAAAGUUGUUUGUCGAACAAAGCUGUCUGCAGAGGCUGCAAAGAAUUUCAGAGAGAAGAUCGAUGAUGAAUAUCGAGUGAACAUGAUUUUGGAUAAUCUCCCAGUUGUGGUCCCUAGGCAGACACGGGAAGGGAGCCAACCGAUCUUUGAUCAUGGUUACCGCGUUGGCUAUAAGCUCAAGGAUGACAAGUACUAUAUUAACAAUCACUUGAGCUUUAAAGUCUUGUACCAUGAAGACCUAAACUCCCCAGAGGCUCGUAUUGUUGGCUUCCAUGUGAUUCCUAGCAGCAUUAAACAUGAAUAUGGUGCCUGGGAUGACAAGAAUCCUACAGUACAAACUUGCAACGCUAACACGAAGAUAACUCCUGGUAGUCACACACCUCAAGAGGUGGCUCCUGAUGCAUAUGUUGUAUUCUCUUACGACGUUACCUUUGAGUCUAGUGAGAUCAUAUGGGCAUCUCGCUGGGAUGUCUACCUUCUUUCCAGUGACAGCCAAAUCCACUGGUUCUCGAUCAUUAACUCCUUGAUGAUUGUUCUUUUCCUUUCUGGCAUGAUAGCCAUGAUUAUGAUGAGGACCCUUUACAAGGACAUAGCAAACUAUAAUCAGCUUGACAAUCAGGAGGAGGCCCAAGAAGAAACUGGAUGGAAGUUAGUGCAUGGUGAUGCCUUCAGGCCUCCUGUUCAUUCAGGUCUUCUUUGCGUUUAUGUUGGAACUGGUGUGCAGUUCUUUGGCAUGACAGUGGUAACCAUGAUGUUUGCGCUACUUGGAUUCUUAUCCCCUGCAAACCGUGGAGGACUCAUGACUGCUAUGGUCCUUCUGUGGGUUUUCAUGGGUGUAUUGGCGGGUUACACGUCGUCUCGCCUCUACAAGAUGUUCAAGGGCACCGAGUGGAAGAAGAUCACCCUCAAAACUGCCUUCAUGUUUCCUGGUAUAAUCUUUGGGGUCUUUUUCGUCCUGAAUGCCCUUAUCUGGGGUGAGAAAUCAUCUGGUGCAGUUCCUUUUGGGACAAUGUUUGCUCUGGUCCUUCUCUGGUUUGGCAUCUCCGUGCCACUGGUCUUUGUUGGAAGUUUCUUGGGAUUCAAGCAGCCAGCAAUUGAGGACCCAGUCAAGACAAACAAGAUUCCCAGACAAAUUCCCGAGCAAGCAUGGUACCUGCAGCCAGCUUUCUCGAUACUUGCUGGUGGCAUAUUGCCAUUUGGUGCUGUCUUCAUUGAGCUCUUCUUCAUCCUCACAUCUAUCUGGCUGAACCAGUUCUACUACAUCUUUGGCUUCCUCUUCAUAGUCUUCGUCAUUCUCCUGGUAACCUGUGCUGAGAUCACAAUUGUGCUCUGCUACUUCCAGCUAUGCAGUGAGGACUACCACUGGUGGUGGAGGGCAUACCUGACCGCAGGCUCUUCAGCUCUAUAUCUUUUUGCUUAUGCUAUCUUCUACUUCUUCAACAAGUUGGAGAUCACGAAGCUUGUUUCAGGCAUUCUCUACUUUGGUUACAUGCUGAUCAUUUCUUAUGCCUUCUUCGUCCUGACUGGCACCAUCGGCUUCUAUGCUUGCUUCUGGUUUGUGAGGAAGAUCUACGCUUCUGUGAAGAUCGACUGA
RNAcentral lists this ribosomal RNA (1920 nucleotides) under Triticum aestivum (bread wheat). RNAcentral's name for it is "partial small subunit ribosomal RNA". Lineage: Eukaryota; Viridiplantae; Streptophyta; Magnoliopsida; Poales; Poaceae. The record is from RNAcentral.